Sesamum indicum (sesame) is the source of this 700-nucleotide non-coding RNA. The record is from RefSeq and is a predicted model, not a curated record. Lineage: Eukaryota; Viridiplantae; Streptophyta; Magnoliopsida; Lamiales; Pedaliaceae.
GAGAGAGAGAGAGAGAGAGAGGAAAAGAAAAGAGGGUUCGGUGCUUUUCAAGGUGUUUCAGCAAUGGCUUCGAGAGUUGUUCAGCAGCAGAACAGAGGAGAGGUAGUCCCGGGGAAUAUUAAGCAGAAGAAUGUGGGAGCAGAAAGGAAGAAUCGUCAUGCACUAGGUGACAUAGGAAAUGUGGUUACCGUUCGUGGGGUCGAGGGGAAGCAGCUUCCUCAGGUUUCUUGACCGGUUACGAGGAGUUUUUGUGCUCAGUUACUGGCUAAUGCACAGGCUGCAGUAGCUGAAAACAACAAGGCUGCAAAUGCCAGUGGAGCCAUUGUGGUGGAUGGAGCUCUGCCGUGCGGAAGCUAACUCAGAAAAAAGCUGCAGCAACCGCCAAACCUAAGCCAGAGGAGAUAACUGAAAUUAGUCCCGAUACUACAGAAGUUGCAGAGAAGGAUAAGCCGGAGAGAAGUUGUUGAAGAAGAAAGCUCCAACUCUUACUUCAACUCUCACUGCUAGAAGCAAGGCUGCAUCCGGGCUAAGCAAUAAACCAAAGGUGCAAAUAGAUGCUGCUGACGUGAAUAAUGACUUGGCUGUUGUUGAAUAUGUUGAUGAGAUCUACAAGUUCUACAAGUCAGUUGAGGUAUAAACUCUUGAAGCUCCUCAUUUUAGUGCAAAUCUAAUAAGUUCUUUUGUUUUAUAAUGUUGUUUG